UACGUAGGGUGCGAGCGUUAAUCGGAAUUACUGGGCGUAAAGCGUGCGCAGGCGAUGAGCUGUGUCCGAUGUGAAAGCCCCGGGCUUAACCUGGGAAUGGCAUUGGAAACUGGCUCGCUGGAGUGUGGCAGAGGGGGGUGGAAUUCCGCGUGUAGCAGUGAAAUGCGUAGAGAUGCGGAGGAACACCGAUGGCGAAGGCAGCCCCCUGGGCUAACACUGACGCUCAGGCACGAAAGCGUGGGGAGCAAACAGG
Molecule: ribosomal RNA, 253 nt
Filed under: uncultured bacterium
Lineage: Bacteria
Description: partial 16S ribosomal RNA
Rfam family: Bacterial small subunit ribosomal RNA
Source: RNAcentral